This 1370-nucleotide ribosomal RNA is filed under the name Vibrio parahaemolyticus. RNAcentral's name for it is "bacterial SSU rRNA". It matches the Rfam family "Bacterial small subunit ribosomal RNA", at positions 1 to 1350 of the family's 1533-position model. Lineage: Bacteria; Pseudomonadati; Pseudomonadota; Gammaproteobacteria; Vibrionales; Vibrionaceae. The record is from RNAcentral.
AAAUUGAAGAGUUUGAUCAUGGCUCAGAUUGAACGCUGGCGGCAGGCCUAACACAUGCAAGUCGAGCGGAAACGAGUUAUCUGAACCUUCGGGGAACGAUAACGGCGUCGAGCGGCGGACGGGUGAGUAAUGCCUAGGAAAUUGCCCUGAUGUGGGGGAUAACCAUUGGAAACGAUGGCUAAUACCGCAUGAUGCCUACGGGCCAAAGAGGGGGACCUUCGGGCCUCUCGCGUCAGGAUAUGCCUAGGUGGGAUUAGCUAGUUGGUGAGGUAAGGGCUCACCAAGGCGACGAUCCCUAGCUGGUCUGAGAGGAUGAUCAGCCACACUGGAACUGAGACACGGUCCAGACUCCUACGGGAGGCAGCAGUGGGGAAUAUUGCACAAUGGGCGCAAGCCUGAUGCAGCCAUGCCGCGUGUGUGAAGAAGGCCUUCGGGUUGUAAAGCACUUUCAGUCGUGAGGAAGGUAGCGUAGUUAAUAGCGGCGUUGUUUGACGUUAGCGACAGAAGAAGCACCGGCUAACUCCGUGCCAGCAGCCGCGGUAAUACGGAGGGUGCGAGCGUUAAUCGGAAUUACUGGGCGUAAAGCGCAUGCAGGUGGUUUGUUAAGUCAGAUGUGAAAGCCCGGGGCUCAACCUCGGAAUUGCAUUUGAAACUGGCAGACUAGAGUACUGUAGAGGGGGGUAGAAUUUCAGGUGUAGCGGUGAAAUGCGUAGAGAUCUGAAGGAAUACCGGUGGCGAAGGCGGCCCCCUGGACAGAUACUGACACUCAGAUGCGAAAGCGUGGGGAGCAAACAGGAUUAGAUACCCUGGUAGUCCACGCCGUAAACGAUGUCUACUUGGAGGUUGUGGCCUUGAGCCGUGGCUUUCGGAGCUAACGCGUUAAGUAGACCGCCUGGGGAGUACGGUCGCAAGAUUAAAACUCAAAUGAAUUGACGGGGGCCCGCACAAGCGGUGGAGCAUGUGGUUUAAUUCGAUGCAACGCGAAGAACCUUACCUACUCUUGACAUCCAGAGAACUUUCCAGAGAUGGAUUGGUGCCUUCGGGAACUCUGAGACAGGUGCUGCAUGGCUGUCGUCAGCUCGUGUUGUGAAAUGUUGGGUUAAGUCCCGCAACGAGCGCAACCCUUAUCCUUGUUUGCCAGCGAGUAAUGUCGGGAACUCCAGGGAGACUGCCGGUGAUAAACCGGAGGAAGGUGGGGACGACGUCAAGUCAUCAUGGCCCUUACGAGUAGGGCUACACACGUGCUACAAUGGCGCAUACAGAGGGCGGCCAACUUGCGAAAGUGAGCGAAUCCCAAAAAGUGCGUCGUAGUCCGGAUUGGAGUCUGCAACUCGACUCCAUGAAGUCGGAAUCGCUAGUAAUCGUGGAUC